This 71-nucleotide transfer RNA is filed under the name Asanoa ferruginea. RNAcentral's name for it is "tRNA-Gln". It matches the Rfam family "tRNA". Rfam says of the family: Transfer RNA (tRNA) molecules are approximately 80 nucleotides in length. Their secondary structure includes four short double-helical elements and three loops (D, anti-codon, and T loops). Lineage: Bacteria; Bacillati; Actinomycetota; Actinomycetes; Micromonosporales; Micromonosporaceae. The record is from RNAcentral.
UCCCGGAUCGUCCAAUGGAAGGACAGCUGGUUCUGGCCCAGCAGAUCGAGGUUCGAGUCCUUGUCCGGGAG